UACGGAGGGUGCAAGCGUUUAUCCGGAUUCACUGGGUUUAAAGGGUGCGUAGGUGGGUUGGUAAGUCGGAUGUGAAACCUCCAGCUCAACCUGGAGUCGCCAUCCGAUACUGCUAUGGCUAGAGUCCGGUAGGGGCCCACGGAAUUCCUGGUGUAGCGGUGAAAUGCGCAGAUAUCGGGAAGAACACCAGUGGCGAAGGCGACUCACUGGCCCGAUACGUGACGCUGAGGCGCGAAAGCAUGGGGAGCAAACAGG
This 255-nucleotide ribosomal RNA is filed under the name uncultured bacterium. RNAcentral describes it as "partial 16S ribosomal RNA". It matches the Rfam family "Bacterial small subunit ribosomal RNA", at positions 524 to 776 of the family's 1533-position model. The record is from RNAcentral.